RNAcentral lists this ribosomal RNA (457 nucleotides) under uncultured bacterium. RNAcentral describes it as "bacterial SSU rRNA". It matches the Rfam family "Bacterial small subunit ribosomal RNA", at positions 29 to 526 of the family's 1533-position model. The record is from RNAcentral.
AACGAACGCUGGCGGCAGGCUUAACACAUGCAAGUCGAGCGAAGACUUCGGUCUUAGCGGCGGACGGGUGAGUAACGCGUGGGAACAUGCCCUUUGCUACGGAAUAGUCCUGGGAAACUGGGUUUAAUACCGUAUACGCCCUUCGGGGGAAAGAUUUAUCGGCAAAGGAUUGGCCCGCGUUGGAUUAGGUAGUUGGUGGGGUAAAGGCCUACCAAGCCGACGAUCCAUAGCUGGUUUGAGAGGAUGAUCAGCCACACUGGGACUGAGACACGGCCCAGACUCCUACGGGAGGCAGCAGUGGGGAAUCUUAGACAAUGGGGGCAACCCUGAUCUAGCCAUGCCGCGUGAGUGAUGAAGGCCCUAGGGUUGUAAAGCUCUUUCAGCAGGGAAGAAGCGAAAGUGACGGUACCUGCAGAAAAAGCACCGGCUAACUACGUGCCAGCAGCCGCAGUAACAC